Non-coding RNA from Taeniopygia guttata (zebra finch), 2579 nucleotides. The record is from RefSeq and is a predicted model, not a curated record. NCBI's taxonomy places the organism in Eukaryota, Metazoa, Chordata, Aves, Passeriformes, Estrildidae.
CACCCCCUGGCCAGCCCAGGGCAGGGGGCUGCUCAGGGCCACCAGCGCCCGGCCACGGGCACGGUGACAGCGGCAGUGCCAGCUAAGCCUAAAGUGGUUUCUCACGCUUGGGGAAAGCAGGAAAGCUUUUGGCAAAGGUUGGAGGUUGAUGUAGAGGUGUUUGGUCAGGGUUCUGUCUCAGGGAGAAGUCCUUGCUGGUGGAUUUUAAUGAUAGGUUCAGGUUUUUCCAUUCAGGUGCAUUUGGUUGGUUUUUAAUAAAUUUCAACCAUAACGUUCAGGUUUUUCCACUCAGGUGCAUUUGGUUGGUUUUUAAUAAAUUUCAACCAUAAUGUUCAAGUUUUUCCAUUCAGGUGCAUUUGGUUGUUUUUUAAUAAAUUUCAACCAUAACGUUCAUGCUUUCAGUUGGGAAAUCCUUCCCUGAUAUUCACAUGGCCUUCUUUUAUACUUUUUAAUCUUUUUUUUUUGUUUUUUGUUCUUUUUUAUAUUCCUAGGAUUUAUUGAGCAAGCUAAAACCAAAACCAAAACAAUAAUGUCAGUGUUUCAUUUGGGAAAUCCUUCCCUGAUAUUCAUAUGGUAUUCUUUUUUAUAUUUUUGUGCUUUUUUUUCCUAGAGCAAGCUAAAACAAAAUUUAACAUCCUACAUGAAAUUACGGUUAGACUUCAACCUUCCUCUUGGUUUGUCAGUCUGUGGCAGUCUAAAAAAGUUCUAAAAGUUCUAAAAAUCCAUGAAACCAAGAGUUUGCAAGAUUCAGAGAGGUUUUUUUUAAUUCAAAAGCCUCUCAGAACACUCAAAUCACAGAAUCUUUUUAUUUGGAAGGGACCCACAAGGAUCAUUGAGUCCACAUCUUAAAUGAAUGGCCCAGACAGGGAUCAAACCCUGUUGGUGUUAUUAACACAAUGCUCCAACUCCUUAUUUUGGAAAUUUGUUAAAAAAGUAUUAAUUCUUCCUUUUAUUUAACUCAGAACGACACUUUGAGGAUUUUAAAGACCUGUGUGGCAUUGGAUAUAAAAUUCUAUAAGCUGGAAUUCCACCUCACCUUGGAGGGAAAGGGUUUGUUUUUUUUUAAUGUAGGUGUUUUUAGACAUCAGGCAGCAGCACUGAGGGGAAAUAAUCUGCAGCAGGAAGCAAAUGAAGCCCUUUGCUGCUGGCUGCUUUAUCCUGAGAUGUGUUUUGAGCCUUUCAGGUACUGCUGGAAUCCAAUUUCUCUGCUGAUUGCUGUCAGACAAGUCUGUCCUCAGCAUUCCACUUGAACAAUUCAUGUGCCUUGAUGCUGUGGUUGGGAAGAGGGGAGCAGGCACCCUCUCAGACAGAUUUUAAAAGUAAAGGUAUUUGGGAGCAGAACCACAUUUCUGGAGACAGCUUCUCAUUUAUGUGCUAGUGACUUAAAAGAUUUCCUUUCUGGAAUGUAAGAGAAUAAAGAGUAACCCUGAUUUUUAUUGUGACCUCUUCCUUCAGCUCAGUCCUGUGACCUGCCCUGCCCUGGGUUGGGUGAAUUUUUAAAGCUGACUGAAUUCAGAGCAAAAUGGGAGCGUUUCAGAUGCAUCUCAGAAUUUGUACAGCAACCAAAAAUUAAAAAAUACAGAUUUUCUGUUCAUAUGCAGAUCUCAAGUUUCCAAGAAAAUACAAUUUAUUGCUCCCCAAUAUUAGUUUGGUGCUAUUUUUUUUUCCCCAGACAUGUUGCUUUUUGCCACUAACCAAACUAACUUAAAGCAAAAGCAAAGUUUUAGUGUUUAUUUGAGGUUUGUAAGUAUUGAAGCUGCAUGCAGAGCUGGUCUGGGAUGUUUUCAUGCAUAUUGGCAGUGCAUGUAUGGAAAGAAACAUUUUCAGUUUUCAUUGUUUCACGCUUGCUGUACCUUUUUUUAUCCAAAAUUUUUGGGUGGCUGGAAAAGGACAAAAGUGCUUUUGAAAGGUGGGUGAUGUGUGGAACUUGGGAGGGGAGGAGGGUUUUGGAAUUCCUGCUGGAGAAGGGUCUGGGCUGCAAACACAGAUAAAAAUGAAUUUUCUAGGGCUGGAAGAUGGGAGAAGAAGGAGGAUUUGACAAAUUCAACCUCAACCCUGUUGUGAUUUUAUUGUAAAAAUUGAUCAGGAAAGUGUGAAACCUCUGGGGAUCCAGUUCUGCCUGUAAUGGUGUGAACUGGGAAAUGGCUGUGGAGGCAUUUGGGAGGUUUUUUCCUAAUGUUCCACAAAAAAGAUUGAGGGCAAAGCAAUCCUGGGAGAAGAGGAUUGUGAAGGGUUCCUGAGAAGGAUUUUUAUUAAAAAAUCCCUGAUUUCUUCUGAGGAGGGAAGAUUUCUUUUAUAAUUUCAGUUCUCCCCACGAAUGUCCAGAUCUUUAAAUAAAAAAACUGGACAUGGAUUGAGCCAUGGUCAUCCUCUUUCUCCAUGGAGAUGGGUGGUACUCCUGGCAGUGAACCCCAAAAGAAUAAACCCCAAAAACUUGUCCCACAGAGUUCUCCAGGGGGCUGUUCCUGGGAAAUUUGAACUGGAAAAUGAUGGAUCACAAAAAUCCUUGGGUUCCCUUUCUUGAUGCAGAGUGGAUCCUGUAGCUGCUCGUGGGGACUCAGCAUUUCUGCCACUAAAAA